RNAcentral lists this ribosomal RNA (253 nucleotides) under uncultured bacterium. RNAcentral describes it as "partial 16S ribosomal RNA". It matches the Rfam family "Bacterial small subunit ribosomal RNA", at positions 524 to 776 of the family's 1533-position model. The record is from RNAcentral.
UACGAAGGGUGCAAGCGUUACUCGGAAUUACUGGGUGUAAAGCGUGCGUAGGUGGUGAGUUAAGUCUGAUGUGAAAUCCCCGGGCUCAACCUGGGAAUGGCAUUGGAUACUGGCUCGCUAGAGUGCGGUAGAGGGUGGUGGAAUUCCCGGUGUAGCAGUGAAAUGCGUAGAGAUCGGGAGGAACAUCUGUGGCGAAGGCGGCCACCUGGACCAGCACUGACACUGAGGCACGAAAGCGUGGGGAGCAAACAGG